ACGGGACGGAUGGACACGGGACAGACAGACGCAGGACAGUCAGACACAGAAUACGGGAUGGACACAGGACAGACAGACACAGGACAGUCGGACACAGAACAUGGGAUGGACACGGGACAGACGGACGCAGGACAGUCAGACGCAGAAUACGGGAUGGCCAAAACCCGGGAUUUUGGGGCACAGAACCACAACAUUUUGGGGCCAAACCCCAGGAUUUUGGUACAGCAGAGUAGGACACGGAGUUUUGGGUUGAAAACAUGGGAUUUUGGGGCACAGAACCACAACAUUUUGGGCCGAAACCCCGGGAUUUUUGGUCCGAACCUCAGAACUUUGCGACACACGAUGGAGACCUGGAGUUUUGGGUCCAAACCCCGGGAUUUCAGAACCGAACCACCCAACAUUUUGGGUCAAAACACCGGGAUUUGGGGUCUGAACCUCACAACUUUGCGACACGCGAUGGAGCGGCAGAGUUUUGGGGCCAAACUCUGCGAUUUCGGAGCCGAACCACCCAACAUUUUGGGUCAAAACACCGGGAUUUUGGGUCCGAACCUCAGAACUUUGUGACAUGCGAUGCAGACGCAGAGUUUUGGGUCGAAACCCUGGGAUUUUGGGGCACAGAACUGCAACUUUUGGGGUCCAAAUGUCGGGAUUUUGGGUCCAAACCUCAGAACUCUGUGACACGCGAUGGAGACGCAGAGUUUCGGAUCCAAACCCCG
Molecule: long non-coding RNA, 716 nt
Filed under: Phasianus colchicus (ring-necked pheasant)
Lineage: Eukaryota; Metazoa; Chordata; Aves; Galliformes; Phasianidae
Description: lncRNA (ENSPCLG00000019715.1)
Source: RNAcentral